UGCGGUCUUCGGGUCAAUGGUGAGCCAGUUGUCAGGAUCCAAACCUUUAACAUACCUGCAACACAGUGCGGACACUCAGCCUGAUUCGGCUCUGAGGGAAAACCUCAACGGCAAUAUGUAGGCGAGUCUUUCCCAACCUUUACCCAGCCAAGGCACGUACCUAAUCUAACCGAAAUGUGUGAACAAUUCUAAAGGGCCGAGCUCACUGGCCUGGAGACUACUUGCCGUCUUGAUUGCGACUCCGGUAUCUGAGCAGUUUUCGCGACAUCUCAUGGUGUCUCGCUGCGUUGCCGGAGAGUCGCUGAAAUGUUCCAUUUUUUUUUCUGAGACCUUUUAGAGACUCUCUCCUAUCUCCGGCAUCUUUCUGGGACCGUGGAGGCUAAUUCUGUCCACAACUGGGAAGAUAUCUUAGUGAGGUCUCGAUGACAUCUCCGAGACAAGCUGGAUCCCAUGGAAACUGCGAAGACGUCGCAGAGACUCCUCCGCUACUUUGCAGCCGUGCGGCGGAGACGUCGCAACGACUUCCCAGGCAAAUUGGUAUCAGUGAGACGUUCUCGCAAUAUUUGGGUUUCCUGAGUCACGGCAAGGUCUCCAACAGUGAGAUAGGCCCCUCAAUCUCAUCACAUCUCUUAUUAUGGAAGGGUCGACGCGGUCUGAAGACUAACCCAACAGACUUUGGUCGCAAGGCAAACUACAUUCACAGUUUCACUGAACCCACAUUGCGUACGCCGAAGUCGGGGUGGGGAGGUUGUCGUUGACAUCGUGCAGUUUCACCACCGCGGUGCCGGUGGCGCUGUUCCCGCCUGGCGCGCCGUUGAGGUCCUGACCUUUCACCGUAAGCGUGUACUGCUCGGAUUUCUGAAAGAUCCAAUGGCAUCGUUGGAAAAAAGCCAAGAACAUGUCGUCCGCCGGUUCCUGAGCGACCAGGGUGUACGCGAUCUGCGAGUUGGGAUUUCCGGGCUCGUCGGCGUCAGUCGCCGUGAUCUUCAUGACGGACGUCCCUGCGGUAGAGAAGACGGGCCUUUUUCGGACC
This is a long non-coding RNA of Syngnathoides biaculeatus (alligator pipefish), 1033 nucleotides long. RefSeq lists it as uncharacterized. The record is from RefSeq and is a predicted model, not a curated record. NCBI's taxonomy places the organism in Eukaryota, Metazoa, Chordata, Actinopteri, Syngnathiformes, Syngnathidae. The transcript is spliced from 4 exons.